Molecule: ribosomal RNA, 267 nt
Filed under: uncultured Staphylococcus sp.
Lineage: Bacteria; Bacillati; Bacillota; Bacilli; Caryophanales; Staphylococcaceae
Description: partial 16S ribosomal RNA
Rfam family: Bacterial small subunit ribosomal RNA
Source: RNAcentral
UCGGCGGACGGGUGAGUAACACGUGGGUAACCUACCUAUAAGACUGGGACAACUUCGGGAAACCGGAGCUAAUACCGGAUAAGAUAUCGAACCGCAUGGUUCGAUAGUGAAAGAUGGUUUUGCUAUCACUUAUAGAUGGACCCGCGCCGUAUUAGCUAGUUGGUGAGGUAACGGCUCACCAAGGCAACGAUACGUAGCCGACCUGAGAGGGUGAUCGGCCACACUGGAACUGAGACACGGUCCAGACUCCUACGGGAGGCAGCAGAC